GGAAGAUUUGGAAGCUGAAGACAGUUAUUUACCUGAAGUGGACACUGCUGAAACCACAGCACCAUUGGACAAUGCACAUGAAGGUCCUGAAGAAGAAAAUCUACAGGUGGAAAAUUUGGAAGCUGAAGACAGUUAUUUACCUGAAUUGGACACUGCUGAAACAACAGCACCAUUGGACAAUGCACAUGAAGGGAGAGACCCAACUAAAGAAGGAGAGUUCGGAGAAGAAAUCAGCAAACCAGAGAGAGAAG
Bombina bombina (fire-bellied toad) is the source of this 251-nucleotide long non-coding RNA. RefSeq lists it as uncharacterized. Lineage: Eukaryota; Metazoa; Chordata; Amphibia; Anura; Bombinatoridae. The transcript has 3 exons. The record is from RefSeq and is a predicted model, not a curated record.